This is a non-coding RNA of Odocoileus virginianus texanus, 1532 nucleotides long. The record is from RefSeq and is a predicted model, not a curated record. Lineage: Eukaryota; Metazoa; Chordata; Mammalia; Artiodactyla; Cervidae.
GCAGGCAAGCUAUGGCCCAUGUGGUCACAAAAGAGUUAGACACAAUUGAGCAACUGAGUGUGCACACAUGCACAAACAUUGUCCACAAUGUGUUUCUCAGAUUCACGUGAAGACAUCAUGGUGAGCCUAUUAAUGGUAGUCAUCGGGGAUCGCCGCUGGUAUGGAGUACUACUCAUAGGAUGUUUACAGGUCUCCAGUCAAAGAGGGAUAUUUUAUCUUAUACUGGUGUUCACCUUGGCUUGCUACAAGUAUCCAGGUUCAUGUCAAGAGACCAUGGUUAAACUAACAGUGCUAAUUAGUGAUGACCAUGGCUUGUGUGCAGAUGAUUCUCAUGAUGCUCUUAACCAUGAUAGUAACCAUGAAACAUUGCAGAUGUCCCAGAAUGAAAUGUUGUCAUAUCUGCGAAUGCCGACAACCUUGCUAUACUGCAGGUGUUCAGAAUGUGUUUUUCAGAUUCCCGUCAGGAGAUCAAGAUGAACUUAAUGGCUGUUAAAGGAGUUCUUUCUGAUGUUCAGAUAAGUGACGAUGUGCACUUUCCCCACAUCACAGCAUCCUGCAUUCAUAUCUCUAGGUUCCUGUCUAGAGAUCAUGGUGCACUUCUUUAUGACCAUGAGAAGAACAUGGCUUUUAUCCAAGUGAGUGACACCGUGGGCCUUUUGCAGAAGCCAGGCCAUCUAGUCUUCAGAUAUCUGAGUACAUGGGUAUGAUUUCCCUAACAGAGUGUUACCCUGUUGUUUUGCAAGUGAUCCAUUAAGUCCUUUCCUAAUGUGCAGGUAUGAGGUUAUAUGACUUUCCCUCAUUUCAGAGCUUCUUAUUUUCAUAUGUAUGAAUGAUGAUACUUUCAAGUCUCUGUGUUAAGUAUGGCUUUGGCAUGUUUGCCAUUCAGAAUUCAAAUUGACCCCAACAAUACCAGUAAGUCGGAUGUUUGACUGUGUUCUUGUUCACAGGUUAUGUGUUUUACGUACGCAUAGUGAUAGAUGGAUCAGUGGAUGAUUUGUCAUAUUGUCCAUCAGUGGUUAACAUUCACUUUGAGGUUUCUCCAGGCAUCCCUGCAAGAGAGGAAAGAAUCUCUUUUUAUUCAUCUCAGAUUUCCACAGUUAUCCAUGGAACAGCAAUGUGUCUUGAAAUGGUAGAAUUGAACAAGGAAUUUUCAGGUGGCCCAGUGGAGUAAGAUGCAUACCAAACACAUUUUACACAGUUGUUUUCAGCUUCAUGUGAAAGCAUCACAGUGAACUGAUUCACAGUAGUUAUCAAGGCACAUCGCAGAUAUGGAGGUGAGUGGUGGUGACUUGCGCUGAAGCCACAACCUAAAUCAUGUGACCUUUGUGCAUAAAAGCUAGUGUUGAUGGUGUCCCUAACACUUCUGCUUCCUUAAUUAUUUUUGCAGGUGUGCAGUUCAGGUCUUAAGUAGUACACAGGUAUGAAAUGAUAUGAUAUAAACACAUCAGUGAAAAUCACUCGGUCGUAUCUGACUCUUUGCGACCCCAUGGACUAUACAAUCCAUGAAACUCUCUAGGCCAGGAUACUGGAGU